UGGCGGUGUCCCACCCUCGGAGUCGCGGCUGCUGCUGGUGCGACAGAGAAUCGCCGUGGGAGCUGCUCUGUGACCCAGAACUCUGUGGAUUUCCGCAGAUGGUGGAGUUGCCUCUCUGUCCAUGUGCUGAGCUCCGGCUGCAGGGACUGUCAGACAUUGUUGGCUGGAAAAACCCUGGAGCAAGAGGUGCCCAAAAGCACUGGGGUUUGUGCCCAGCGAAAGCUGCGAGUGUCCAGCUUCCAACCCCCGCGGACCGUCCCCGGCGCGACUUGUCCCGAGCGCUGCCCUCGGCCGGGAGCGUCCGAUCCCGCCGGGAAUGCGGGAGCGGAGACUCGGCGGGACAUCGGCAACUGGGAGCGGGAGGGGCGGGACGGGGACCGUAAAAGGGGUGUGGGGCGGUGACCGGGGUGACUGAGAGCUCCGGGGGCGGGACGGUGCCCAUAGAAGGAGUGUGGGGCGGGGCUGUGUCCAGAAAAGGGGACUGUAGGGCGGGGCGAGGCCAUAAAAGGAGCCUGUGGGGUGGGGACUAUGCCCAUAAAAGGAACGUGUAGGGCGAGGCGAUGUCCAUAAAAGGAGCGUUUGGGGCGGGGCGACGCCCAAAUAGGGUUGUGUGGGGCGGGGUUAUGUCCAUAACAGGAGUUUGUGGGGCGUGGUGAUGCCCAUACAAGGCGCUCUGGGGCGGGGCUAUGUCCAUAAAAGGAGUGCCGGGGCGGGACGAGAACCAUACACAGUGUGUAGGGCGUGGCGAUGCCCAUAAAAGGAGUGUGUGGGGCGGGACGAUGCCCAUAAAAGGAGCGUGUGGGACGGGACGAUGCCCAUACAAGGAGCGUGUGGGGCGGGACGAUGCCCAUACAAGGAGCGUGUGGGGCGGGACGAUGCCCAUACAAGGAGCGUGUGGGGCGGGACCAGGCGCUGCCGUCCCGUCUCGCUGAGCGCGGCUCUUCCGGGCCCGGCGUUCUCAUUGUUCUCGUCGCUGCCGCUGCUGUCACUGUCAUUGCUGUCAUGGAUCGUCAUUAAUGUUAAAUUAUUCUUGUUUUCUCCCUUAUUAAACUGUUCUGAUCUCA
This is a long non-coding RNA of Pipra filicauda (Wire-tailed manakin), 1064 nucleotides long. RefSeq lists it as uncharacterized. The record is from RefSeq and is a predicted model, not a curated record. The transcript is spliced from 3 exons. NCBI's taxonomy places the organism in Eukaryota, Metazoa, Chordata, Aves, Passeriformes, Pipridae.